UCUUCUCUCACUUUCUUUUUCCUCAGGGUUUUGUUCCAAGGAAACCUCAGAGUGUUUUGCUUCUCUUCCUUUUUCUGUCUGUUUUGUUUCAAUGAAACUCUAGUAUUUAUAGGUUAAUAUUGGUAGCUUAGUGGGCUUUUGAGAGAGGUCCAAGUUCAAGAUUUUUUUUUUCUUUUUUUUCUUUUUUUUUUCGUUUUUCGUUUUUUGUUUUUUUUUUCGUUUUUUUUAUUUAAAUAUUCUGAUUGCCAUGAUGAAAUGCAAAUGCUAAAUGACCUAAAAAUGAAUGCAUGCAUGAGGUGUAAAGCGUAUGCUUCCAGGAAAAAUGAAGGGUAAAUUUUGGGGUAUUACACAUGGGUUGAGGUUGCUUCAUGAGCAAGGCACAGUUGAUGCACAUAUGAAUUAGGG
RNAcentral lists this long non-coding RNA (405 nucleotides) under Lathyrus oleraceus (garden pea). RNAcentral describes it as "Pisum sativum (pea) long non-coding RNA (PSAT_LNC011813)". The record is from RNAcentral. Lineage: Eukaryota; Viridiplantae; Streptophyta; Magnoliopsida; Fabales; Fabaceae.